This 180-nucleotide ribosomal RNA is filed under the name uncultured Glomeromycotina. RNAcentral describes it as "partial small subunit ribosomal RNA". The stretch from base 48 to 180 matches the Rfam family "Eukaryotic small subunit ribosomal RNA", at positions 693 to 828 of the family's 1831-position model. The record is from RNAcentral. Lineage: Eukaryota; Fungi; Glomeromycota.
GGGUUUACUCAUUGGUCAGGCUUAAUUGUCUGUACUGGUGAGAUGAGUCUCUACCUUCUGAGGAACUUUCAUGCCAUUUAUUUGGUGUGGUUGGAAAUCAGGACUGUUACUUUGAAAAAAUUAGAGUGUUUAAAGCAGGCUAACGUCUGAAUACAUUAGCAUGGAAUAAUGAAAUAGGAC